GAUAUUGCUCAAUGGGGGGAACUCUGACGCAGCAACGCCGUGUGAGUGACGAAGGUUUUCGGACCGUAAAGCUCUGUCACCGGGGACGAAGUAGUGACGGUACCCGAGCAGGAUGACCCGGCUAACUACGUUCCAGCAGCCGCGGUAAUACGGAGGGGGCGAGCGUUGUCCGGAAUUACUGGGCGUAAAGGGUGCGUAGGCGGCCAAUUAAGUCAGAUGUGAAAUACCACGGCUUAACCGUGGGGGUGCGUUUGAAACUGUUUGGCUUGAGUGCGGGAGAGGAAAGCGGAAUUCCUAGUGUGGCGGUGAAAAGCGUAGAGAUUAGGAGGAACACCAGUGGCGAAGGCGGCUUUCGGACUGUCACUGACGCUGAGGCACGAAAGCGUGGGUAGCGAACA
RNAcentral lists this ribosomal RNA (398 nucleotides) under uncultured bacterium. RNAcentral describes it as "partial 16S ribosomal RNA". It matches the Rfam family "Bacterial small subunit ribosomal RNA", at positions 359 to 774 of the family's 1533-position model. The record is from RNAcentral.